RNAcentral lists this ribosomal RNA (669 nucleotides) under Triticum aestivum (bread wheat). Its description in RNAcentral is "partial small subunit ribosomal RNA". The record is from RNAcentral. Lineage: Eukaryota; Viridiplantae; Streptophyta; Magnoliopsida; Poales; Poaceae.
AUGGUGCAAUUGUCACAUGGGUCUGAUGUAUUCCGAUGGAACCUCCAUGGGAAUGGAGAAUUCUCAGUGGAUUCUAUGUAUAGAGCGUUAAUUCAAUCUGAUGUGACAGUUGUUAAUAACAAGAAGAUCUGGAAGAUGAAGAUACCUCUUAAGAAUAAAAUCUUUGCAUGGUAUCUUCGUCGCGGAGUCAUUCUUACUAAAGAUAACCUCAUUAAGAGGAAUUGGCAUGCAAGCCCGCAAUGUGUAUUUUGUCACCAUGAGGAGACAAUAAAACAUUUAUUCUUUCAAUGCAAAUUGGCUCGUUCUAUAUGGUCAAUCAUCCAAAUAGCUUCUGGCUUGUAUCCUCCCUGUAGUGUUGCUAAUGUAUUUGGCAACUGGUUACAUGGGAUUGAUCAUAGGUUUAUAACUCUUCUCAGGGUGGGAGCGCUUGCCGUUAUUUGGUCGCUUUGGCUAUGUAGAAAUGAUAAGGUUUUUAAUGAUAAAAGUACUUCUCUGUUGCAGGUUAUCUACAGAUGUACCGAGACUCUUCGUUCAUGGUCCUCUCUACAACGCGUGGAGAAUCGAGACCUGUUUACGAAGGUGUGUACACGAUUCGAGGCUACGGCGAGGGAUAUUUUUACCCAACAUGGGUGGCAGCAUGAUCUAAGGAUUGGCCCCCCUCCAUAUUAG